AAACCAUUUGGCGGGUUUUUCCGGCCACUCUGUUCUGCCACCGUCACUGAGAAGCUCAGCGGUAGCUUUUGGGAAGCAGGACGUUCUCACCAGGAGAGCGUCCUCUCGAGAUUUCUGCUCCCUCCAUUCAGGGCGUUUGGGAGCCACCCCUUCAUUUUUUAAAAAAAAUAUUUCUCUGUGACCGACGGCCGGGGCCUUCUGACGGUCUGAGGUCCUGCUUGGGUCAGUCACCUCCAGUCACGGUCCGCGGAGGGGGGAAGGAUAAGAGGGCGAGGAGCUCAUCGCUCGCCACCCCCGUGGGCUUCUUGGGCGCAGGUCGGAGCUGGGUGGGCCGGCUCCCCGGUCCCUGGCUUGGGCGACCAUGUCCGCAUCCGCCCAGCAGCUGGCGGAGGAGCUGCAGAUCUUCGGCCUAGACUGCGAGGAGGCUCUAAUUGAGAAAUUGGUAGAGCUUUGUGUUCAGUAUGGACAGAAUGAGGAGGGAAUGGUAGGCGAGCUUAUAGCCUUCUGCACCAGCACACAUAAAGUUGGCCUUACCUCAGAGAUCCUGAACUCUUUUGAGCAUGAGUUUCUGAGCAAAAGAUUAUCGAAAGCCAGGCAUAGUACCUGCAAGGACAGUGGCCAUGCAGGAGCUAGAGACAUUGUUUCCAUUCAAGAGCUAAUUGAAGUGGAAGAAGAAGAGGAAAUCCUCUUGAACUCUUACACCACACCUUCAAAGGGUUCUCAGAAGCGAGCUAUCUCUACCCCAGAAACCCCCCUAACAAAAAGGAGUGUGUCAACUCGUAGCCCCCAUCAGCUACUCUCACCGUCAAGUUUCUCUCCAAGUGCUACUCCCUCCCAGAAAUACAACUCACGAAGUAACCGAGGAGAAGUGGUUACCUCCUUCGGCUUAGCACAGGGAGUAUCUUGGUCUGGGAGAGGAGGAGCUGGAAACAUCAGCCUGAAGGUCUUGGGAUGUCCAGAGGCACUAACUGGGAGCUACAAAUCCAUGUUUCAGAAGCUCCCAGACAUUCGAGAAGUUCUGACCUGUAAGAUAGAAGAACUUGGCAGCGAACUCAAGGAACAUUACAAGAUUGAAGCUUUCACUCCUUUGCUAGCCCCAGCACAGGUAAGAGUUGUUCUAAUAGUUCUCACUAAUUAAUAUUACGUUUUUAAAUCGAUGACCAAGAGGCAUCCUUCUUGCUUCCUUUUUCACUUCUUGUCUGUGUUCUAGUUUGAACAUCUAUCUUGGUUGAAUUUGGGAAAAUGGGCCCUUCUGAAGAAAGAUUUGUAAGUGCUGUCUGGUUUUGUGGCCAGAGAGUGAUUUUCUUCCCACUUGGAUUAGAGUCUUGCACAUAAGCAGAGACUGAAGGCCUUGUUUCCCUUGGUGGUGAGUCAGGUAGCUCCCCGGGGAUUUCCCACAAAUAGAAGCAUUCACGUAUCGAGAUAAAAGGACAGCAGCGACAGUGGGGUUUUCAGAAUCUUGUUCUCUGGACAAUGACUCACAGUCUCUCCCCUGGUUU
This 1499-nucleotide small RNA is filed under the name Pan troglodytes (chimpanzee). RNAcentral's name for it is "retained intron". The record is from RNAcentral. Lineage: Eukaryota; Metazoa; Chordata; Mammalia; Primates; Hominidae.